Molecule: non-coding RNA, 1714 nt
Organism: Drosophila virilis
Lineage: Eukaryota; Metazoa; Arthropoda; Insecta; Diptera; Drosophilidae
Source: RefSeq, a predicted model, not a curated record
UCAAAGUAUGCGCUGCCUCGCAUUUUGUUUUUAUUGGCUUGACACAAGUUCUACCCCUUUCAAAUGGAGCGUACUGCGCAUACUGGACUGCUUGAACCAACAUUUCACAAAUAUGAAACCUUAAAAAGAAAAAGCGUUGGUUCAAAUCAUUUAUAUAUAUUGAAAAGUUUCGUUGAAAUAUUAUUGGUGCAAAACAACUCUAUCAAAACAACAAAAAAACUCUAUCUGUGACUGAUUGACUGCCUGCCCAAGCAAAAGCUAGGAAGUCAAAGCUGUUGUUGACGCUUCUUUUCGAAUCAAUAUUAUCAAUGUUUUAUAGGGUAUACAAGUGCGUGGAAGCUCUAUCUGUGUCCGAAGUUUUUUUCUGUUCGCCAGCAAAUUGCAUGUCACAAAAGUGCGCUUGGAUUUGGAUUGAGUGUGACUGUGUCUGUGUGUGUGUGUGUUUUGUGUGGCUUUGGAAUAUUGACAUUUGCACAGUUUUAUGAGUACCUGCGAUCAACAUGCGCCCCGCCCAAAAAUGUUUGCUCGGCUGUCUGGUCGGCUGUUUCUAUGGCUCUCUCUGGCUGGGUUACUGUGUCUGUUUUGUGGUUUGGUGGUGCGCUUGUUAGACAUUUGUCAGCUUUAUAGCAUUUGUGGCCAGCCGCCAAUUGACAAGGCAUUUGUUUUCCCAUGACUUAUGAGUGUGUUGGCGGUCGGCGAUGGCGAGGUUAGGGCAGGCCAAGUGAAUUACCAUAAAACUUGGCCCCAACAUGUCGAGCAUUAAUAUCAGUUGUGUCCCAGCUCUUGUGCUCCAGUUCCCACAGUCCCCAGGCCUGGACGACCUGCUGCCAUUUGGAGGCCAGCCAGGACACAUUAUGCGCCCCUCUGAGCGCAUUACAUGUGUAGCCACGUUUGGGCAAAUGAUGAUUUAUACGGGCCAGGACAGGCAGCUCGGCAGCCAGGCAGACCGGGUCCCGUGGACCUACCCCCAGGCUGUCAGGCGUUGUCCAGCCGCACCUCCUGCUUCCGCUUCAGCUGCUGAUAAGUAUAAAACACACUCGGCCGACAUUUUCAUUUUCAUUUAGCAGCAAAUGCUGUGAAAAUAUUUUAACUGCAUUAUUUUAGCAUUUGUCGUGGCAUGUAUUUAGCAUUUGGCUGUGCAGAGCACUUGGAAUUAUAAAUAUGCACAGCGCCCAACCCAGCUCAGCUCAGAUCGUGUCCUGGGGCUCCGAGCAUUUCCAUUACUGCUGUCACAGCAAAUUUCUAGAAUUUAAAGUGCUUCAAGACAAUAGACAGCCCUGUAAAUGCAAAUAACAAAUUAAAUUUAAUGGCCGGACAGCAAAAUGCUCGUAAUCAAGUCAACUAAUCCGUUCAAGUGCAUUCAAAUUGAGAUUCAUUUAGCACGACUGCCAGAUGCUCUGCUCGGCUGUGCAGCAAUCCAACCGAAUGGUCAUACUAGCUGCCAAGCCACGCCCACUUUUGUCAAUUACAUACACUUGCAUAAGCCGAACAUAUCCUUUAACACUCACUUCAGUUGCUUGACAAGGUGGAAGACGAGAAGCAGCACAUUUUGCUGCCUGAAAACCACACACACACGCACACACACAUAAAUACACAGUGUGUGUGUGUGUGUGCAGCAUGCAAAAUAUUUAUGUUGAUAAAUCAAGUUUGCUUUUGUGGAUUAGGUGUAUCUAAAAUAAAUUGAAUUUGUGGCGUAAAUUAAGGCCAAACAAAA